RNAcentral lists this unclassified non-coding RNA (372 nucleotides) under Hevea brasiliensis (rubber tree). Lineage: Eukaryota; Viridiplantae; Streptophyta; Magnoliopsida; Malpighiales; Euphorbiaceae. The record is from RNAcentral.
UCGCAGUUCGCCAAGGACGUGCACGCCCAUUCGACCGGCCGCUGGAGACCACGGCUUGCCAUGAUCACAUUCCUCGACGGGUUCUUCGGCUUCGUCUGUCUCGGCGUUUACAUCGCUCAGAUGGCCGCGCGGCCCUGAACCGUCAGCGCAAUACCGUCAGCGCCACAGCCCGAGCGCUGCCCACUUCGAUUCGGGAAUCAGUUCGCCGAUCUUGUAGCCGAACGACAGCACCUUCAUGUGGUCGGGCGAUCCCUUGCACGCGAAGGAAAACGCAUACCAUCGUCCCUUGCUGCGGAACGCACCGCCCUUGCCCGUGACAGUGUCGCCCGCAUGCUGCGGAUGGGACAGCACGUCGGUCUGGGCGCGGUCGGG